AUGUUACCUUGAUUGGGUGCGUAGGGUGGCCAGCAAGUUUACCUUGAAAAAAUUAGAGUGCUCAAUGCGGGCUAAUGCCUGAAUACUCGUGCAUGGAAUAAUGAAAUAGGAUCUCGGUUCUAUUUUGUUGGUUUUCUGAUCUGAGAUAAUGGUUAAGAGGGACGGACGGGGGCAUUCGUAUCGCUGCGUGAGAGGUGAAAUUCUUGGACCGUAGCGAGACGUCCAACUGCGAAAGCAUUUGCCAAGAAUGUCUUCAUUAAUCAAGAACGAAAGUCAGAGGUUCGAAGGCGAUCAGAUACCGCCCUAGUUCUGACCGUAAACGAUACCAACUAGCGUUCCGUCGGCGGUAAAUACGCCUUGACGGGCAGCUUCCCGGAAACGAAAGUUUUUCGGUUCCGGGGGAAGUAUGGUUGCAAAGCUGAAACUUAAAGAAAUUGACGGAAGGGCACCACCAGGAGUGGAGCCUGCGGCUUAAUUUGACUCAACACGGGAAAACUCACCUGGCCCGGACACCGUGAGGAUUGACAGAUUGAGAGCUCUUUCAUGAUUCGGUGGUUGGUGGUGCAUGGCCGUUCUUAGUUGGUGGAGUGAUUUGUCUGGUUUAUUCCGAUAACGAGCGAGACUCUAGCCUACUAAAUAGUUACUGAAUAAUUUUGUCCAGAAAACUUCUUAGAGGGACAAGCGGUGUUUAGCCGCAUGAAGUUGAGCAAUAACAGG
RNAcentral lists this ribosomal RNA (717 nucleotides) under Setaria digitata. RNAcentral's name for it is "SSU rRNA". It matches the Rfam family "Eukaryotic small subunit ribosomal RNA", at positions 714 to 1460 of the family's 1831-position model. The record is from RNAcentral. Lineage: Eukaryota; Metazoa; Nematoda; Chromadorea; Rhabditida; Setariidae.